This 1871-nucleotide long non-coding RNA is filed under the name Helianthus annuus (common sunflower). Its description in RNAcentral is "hypothetical non coding rna". The record is from RNAcentral. Lineage: Eukaryota; Viridiplantae; Streptophyta; Magnoliopsida; Asterales; Asteraceae.
UUGAGUGUGUGUUCUGGUCGACAUAAACACAGGAGCCAAGAAGCUCUCUACCUCAAAACCCUAAAGCUCACAAAUCCAGCAAAAUUAAAGGUGAAUCAAGCAAAGAAAUUGGGGCUUUAACUAAAUCCUUGAUCCCCUAAGCUAGGAGGUCACAAGAUGAAGGCUUGGGAGGAAGCGGGUCAAACGGAACAAGUACGAAAAGAAAACGUUGCUUGGAUGCGAGGUAAGUAUAGCUUACACUAGUCUUAAAUUGUGGAAUAUUCUCUUAUCAUAUAAAUUAUCAAUGUGAUAACUAAACAAUUGAGUAAUGAUGUUCCGUCAUGUAGUCGUACGGAACAGGAUAAUCAAAGAUGAGAGGAACCAUAAUAAUGGUUAAAUAGAAGUAAAUCGAUAAACGGUCAUUUAGACUAAACGGGUCAAAAGGUGAAAAUAUCACCCUUUGACAAUAUCGACUAAUGAAUUUGUCGAGUGUAUGAUUACAGGAAUACAUAUCAAAUGGAAAUUUGCAUCGCUAUUAGUUAGCGUUUAUUAAGCAAAGCAUUAAAUGGGUCAAUAUGUUGAUCCGAGCCAGGUAUGUGUGAUAGGUUAAUUACUCAUUUAAAACGUGAAGAUCUAUGAGAGUUAGGCUCAGUAAAAAGGGACAUACGGCUACCUUAAAAGGUAAACCGAAGGAUUUAAAUUAUAGACAAAGUGUUUUGAAAACAAGAUUUGGUUAAAAAUGAGAUUUUGGGCGUGCAUGGCUUAAGCAAGCCCUUCGUCGUAAAAGAAGAGUUAAAAAUGUCCAAAACACCCUUGUUAGUGAAAUUAAGCAAGCAACCUUUAGAAGUCGCUUGAAAACGAGUUUUAUAAUCAAGUCAAUACUUAGAACAAGUAUAAAAACGAAAGAUGUAAAUUCUGGGUCGAAAGACUCUAUAUGAGUCUUUGCCUUAAAAAUAAUAAUCCGAGGGGUAAAACUCGGAUUAAAUAGAUCACCACAUUAAAUCCACCACAAAUAUAGUUAUGGUGGGAGAUCAUUUAAUAAGAAAUGUGGACUUAUGUAUUUAGAAACAAGUGAAAGCAAUUGGCGCUUAAAAUAUGCUCAAAUACCCUUAACGGGUCAAAAUGAGCAUAUGGGUGAAAAUGGGUUUAAGAAGGUAUAUAAACCUGUAAUUUGAAACCUUUUAUGUUAAACAUUAUUGAACUUGAUAGGUUAUGGGAAAUAAGGGUCAAACAAACUUGUUUGUUUGAGAAAGAUCGAACGGGUCAAAAUUUGGUAAAAAGGGGAGUAAGCCGAACACUUAAAAGUCUGAAAUUUUACUAAACCGGAUGUUGGAUUUUAAACUCCAUAAGGUGGAGAAUUAAAUUACAAACACGUAGGAAGAAACGGUAGGUCAAACGGACAAGCGGUUUGAAAGAUACGAAAGAUUUCGUGUCAAAAACGGCAAAAUGGAAAGGUUGGAUGCAGGGGCCACCGUAACUUACGGUGCCACCGUAAGUUACGGUGGAGCUGAUAUAGAUACGAUAGGUAACCCCUGAGUUACGGUGGAAGUUUUGACAUUCAGGGGCUACCGUAAAUUACGGUACCCACCGUAAUUUACGGUGGACCCUGUAAUAAAAUAUAUUUUAAUUAGUUUCGCUUCGUGGACUCGUUUAGACAUGUUUUUAAACCCCGAAUGACUAAAGCAUUUCAUGUUUAUGAAAUGUAGGUACUUUUGGAUGCCGGAAGACGAUCAAGCUCAACGAGGAACCGAACACGAUAAAGAUACACGCUUCCGCACUUUGCAUCGUCAUUAAUUUUUAAACGACGAAUUUGAUCACGUUAUGUCAAAUGACUUAUGAUUUGUAAAAGUUUUAAUAAACCCGUAUUUCCGACGUAUAUAGCCUUGGUUUAA